UACGGAAGGCAGCAGUGGGGAAUAUUGCACAAUGAGCGAAAGCCUGAUGCAGCUAUGCCGCGUGUAUGAAGAAGGCCUUAGGGUUGUAAAGUACUUUCAUCGGGGAGGAAAAACAAAACUAAUAAUUUUAUUUCUUGACGUUACCCGAAAAAGAAGCACCGGCUAACUCCGUGCCAGCAGCCGCGGUAAUACGGAGGGUGCUAGCGUUAAUCAGAAUUACUGGGCGUAAAGAGCACGUAGGUGGUUUUUUAAGUCAGAUGUGAAAUCCCUGGGCUUAACCUAGGAACUGCAUUUUGAAACUGAAAUACUAGAGUAUCGUAGAGGGAGGUAGAAUUCUAGGUGUAGCGGUGAAAUGCGUAGAUAUCUGGAGGAAUACCUGUGGCGAAAGCGGCCUCCUAAACGAAUACUGACACUGAGGUGCGAAAGCGUGGGGAGCAAACAGGGAUUAGAUACC
This 454-nucleotide ribosomal RNA is filed under the name uncultured bacterium. Its description in RNAcentral is "bacterial SSU rRNA". It matches the Rfam family "Bacterial small subunit ribosomal RNA", at positions 340 to 786 of the family's 1533-position model. The record is from RNAcentral.